GUCUGCUGCAACUUCCUCUGCCUCCUGUAAUAGAACUCCACUUCUCCUCCAGCGCCCUGUGCAGAGUGGCUCACAUGAAAGAUCUCCGUUUCUUCCGAGGAUAAGCAUCUGUCUAUACCUUAGCCAGGGAUACGUCUGCACUGGCUCAGGAGCAUCCUUGUGGUGCCUGACAUUCAGAAGACGUGGAACAAACACAUGAGAAAGUGAGUCUGCAGGUACAACUGGAAGCUACCCAGCUGCUUCGUUCCCGGCCUGAGAAAGCCGCCCAGGAGCAAGGGGACAUCUGAGGCACACGAG
RNAcentral lists this long non-coding RNA (297 nucleotides) under Aotus nancymaae (Ma's night monkey). Its description in RNAcentral is "lncRNA (ENSANAG00000038802.1)". Lineage: Eukaryota; Metazoa; Chordata; Mammalia; Primates; Aotidae. The record is from RNAcentral.